GACGAACGCUGGCGGCGUGCUUAACACAUGCAAGUCGAACGGAAAGGCCCUGCUUGCCGGGUACUCGAGUGGCGAACGGGUGAGUAACACGUGGGUGAUCUGCCCUGCACUUCGGGAUAAGCCUGGGAAACUGGGUCUAAUACCGGAUAGGAGCCAUUUUUAGUGUGAUGGUUGGAAAGUUUUUUCGGUGUAGGAUGAGCUCGCGGCCUAUCAGCUUGUUGGUGGGGUAAUGGCCUACCAAGGCGGCGACGGGUAGCCGGCCUGAGAGGGUGGACGGCCACAGUGGGACUGAGAGACGGCCCAGACUCCUACGGGAGGCAGCAGGGGGGAAUAUUGAACAAUGGGCGCAAGCCUGAUGCAGCGACGCCGCGUGGGGGAGGACGGCCUUCGGGUUGUAAACUCCUUUCGCUAGGGACGAAGCUUUUUGUGACGGUACCUAGAGAAGAAGCACCGGCUAACUACGUG
RNAcentral lists this ribosomal RNA (465 nucleotides) under uncultured bacterium. Its description in RNAcentral is "partial 16S ribosomal RNA". It matches the Rfam family "Bacterial small subunit ribosomal RNA", at positions 28 to 507 of the family's 1533-position model. The record is from RNAcentral.